This 253-nucleotide ribosomal RNA is filed under the name uncultured bacterium. RNAcentral's name for it is "partial 16S ribosomal RNA". It matches the Rfam family "Bacterial small subunit ribosomal RNA", at positions 524 to 776 of the family's 1533-position model. The record is from RNAcentral.
GACGUAGGGCGCGAGCGUUGUCCGGACUUAUUGGGCGUAAAGAGCUCGUAGGCGGCUUGUCGCGUCGUCCGUGAAAGCCCGGGGCUUAACCCCGGGUCUGCAGUCGAUACGGGCAGGCUAGAGUGUGGUAGGGGAGAUCGGAAUUCCUGGUGUAGCGGUGAAAUGCGCAGAUAUCAGGAGGAACACCGGUGGCGAAGGCGGAUCUCUGGGCCAUUACUGACGCUGAGGAGCGAAAGCGUGGGGAGCGAACAGG